AUUUUUCCUUCCUAUGUUGAAGAAUAUUAUUGAAUUAUCAAACUGACAACACUUCCUGGCACUAGAGCACCAGGACCUGACUUUCCCAGCACUCAUACACAAGACCAGGAGAUAAUUCAGCUGUUCAACAGCCACUCUCUCUUCAUAGAGGCAAAACCAUGUCCUUAACCUCCUUCAGCACGAUAGCACUUCAUAAGAGAACUCUGAAGUUUUGUUGGCCCCAUGGUUUUGGCCCACACUUAUCACGUUGUCUGCAUGGCAUGUCAAAUUAGGAUGCACAGGAUAUCAUCACAUCACAUCCAGAAUAGCUUUGCAAAUUUCAGGGCAUAAAUAGUAUCAGUGCCUCUUUUCCCUUCUUAGGUUUAAGGGGGAAAAUGCAACCAUAGUCCAGAUAUAGUGCAUUUUUUGAGUGGUUAUAUCUGAAUUGUAGAGAGAUUUGGAGGCUUGAAAUAUAUUGUUGUAUUGAAAAUAAAACCCAGCCUGAAAGGUA
This is a long non-coding RNA of Haemorhous mexicanus (house finch), 490 nucleotides long. RefSeq lists it as uncharacterized. Lineage: Eukaryota; Metazoa; Chordata; Aves; Passeriformes; Fringillidae. The transcript has 2 exons. The record is from RefSeq and is a predicted model, not a curated record.